UAGAAUGAUGCAAAAUAUUUGUUAAUCUAGAAAUAGAAUGAUGAAAUUAACCACCAAGAUCUCUGAUCUA
Molecule: small nucleolar RNA, 70 nt
Filed under: Paramecium primaurelia
Lineage: Eukaryota; Ciliophora; Oligohymenophorea; Peniculida; Parameciidae
Also listed under: 2 other names
Description: Small nucleolar RNA SNORD24
Rfam family: Small nucleolar RNA SNORD24
About the family: U24 is a member of the C/D class of snoRNA which contain the C (UGAUGA) and D (CUGA) box motifs. C/D box snoRNAs have been shown to act as methylation guides for a number of RNA targets. U24 is encoded within an intron of the gene for ribosomal protein L7a in mammals, chicken and Fugu.
Source: Rfam by way of RNAcentral